GAAAGUUUCCUUCGGGGGAUGAGUAGAGUGGCGCACGGGUGAGUAACACGUAGGUAAUCUACCUUCGGAUGGGGAAUAACAACCGGAAACGGUUGCUAAUACCGCAUAAUGCAGCGGCACCUAAUGGUGACAGUUGUUAAAGCGGGGGAUCGAAAGACCUCGCGUCUGAAGAGGAGCCUGCGGCGGAUUAGCUAGUUGGUAGGGUAACGGCCUACCAAGGCUACGAUCCGUAGCCGGCCUGAGAGGGCGGUCGGCCACACUGACACUGACAUACGGGUCAGACUCCUACGGGAGGCAGCAGUCGGGAAUUUUGGGCAAUGGGCGAAAGCCUGACCCAGCAACGCCGCGUGAAGGAUGAAAUCCCUCGGGAUGUAAACUUCGCAAGAACGGGAAGAAUAAGUAGGGGACAAUACCCCCUAUGAUGACGGUACCGUUUGUAAGCUCCGGCUAACUCCGUGCCAGCAGCCGCGGUAAUACGGGGGGAGCAAGCGUUGUUCGGAUUUACUGGGCGUAAAGGGCGCGUAGGCGGCCAGUGCAAGUCAGUUGUGAAAUCUCCGAGCUUAACUCGGAAAGGUCAACUGAUACUGCUCGGCUAGAGUGCGGAAGGGGCAACUGGAAUUCUUGGUGUAGCGGUGAAAUGCGUAGAUAUCAAGAGGAACACCUGCGGCGAAGGCGGGUUGCUGGGCCGACACUGACGCUG
This 700-nucleotide ribosomal RNA is filed under the name uncultured Acidobacteriota bacterium. RNAcentral's name for it is "bacterial SSU rRNA". It matches the Rfam family "Bacterial small subunit ribosomal RNA", at positions 68 to 748 of the family's 1533-position model. The record is from RNAcentral. Lineage: Bacteria; Pseudomonadati; Acidobacteriota.